UAUGUGAUCGUCUCUCGCAUAUCAAUAAGCGGAGGAAAAGAAACUAACAAGGAUUCCCUUAGUAACGGCGAGUGAAGCGGGAAGAGCUCAAAUUUGAAAUCUUCAAGGUUUUACCUUGACGAAUUGUAGUUUAAAGAAGUGUUUUCUGUUGAAGUUUUGGUGAAAGUUCUUUGGAAUAGGACAUCAUAGAGGGUGAGAAUCCCGUAUUUGACCAUUAUUUUCAGCUGUGUGAUACACUUUCAAAGAGUCGGAUUGUUUGGGAAUGCAGUCCAAAAUGGGUGGUAAAUUUCAUCUAAAGCUAGAUAUUGGCGAGAGACCGAUAGCGAACAAGUACCGUGAGGGAAAGAUGAAAAGAACUUUGAAAAGAGAGUUAAACAGUACGUGAAAUUGUCAAAAGGGAAGCGUUUGACACCAGUGUUGUUUUCUCGAAAAUCAAUUAAAAAGAGUUAGAUUUUGUUGUGUAUUGACCUUAACAGCUUGCAUUUCAAUUUUCUUGCUUUUUUUAAUGCACUUUUCGUUUAACAAGUCAACAUCAGUUUCUUUUGUUGUAAAAAGGUCAUUGGAAGGUGGCUUUCUUUUCGGAGAAAGUGUUUAUAGCCUUUGACUCCUGCAAUCGGAGAGACUGAGGUCUGCAGCGUAGAUCCUUCGGGGUUAGAUACAUUUGUGCUAAGUUAUAGCUUUUUAUAGACAACUUGUUGACUAUGAUUAGUCUUGUAGCUUACUCGCUUAUGCUAUUUUACCUACGCUUAGGAUGUUGAAGAUGUAGCACAUCAU
RNAcentral lists this ribosomal RNA (774 nucleotides) under uncultured Neocallimastigales. RNAcentral's name for it is "partial large subunit ribosomal RNA". It matches the Rfam family "Eukaryotic large subunit ribosomal RNA", at positions 24 to 620 of the family's 3401-position model. Lineage: Eukaryota; Fungi; Neocallimastigomycota; Neocallimastigomycetes; Neocallimastigales. The record is from RNAcentral.